UACGAGUUGGGAAGGCAAGGUGCCAUGACCAAGUUGUCUAGCAACAAGACUGUCAGGCGCAUCCGUGUGCGUGGCGGUAACUCUAAGUUCCGGGCGUUGCGUUUGGACACAGGAAAUUUCUCUUGGGGUUCCGAGGCUGUCACCCGGAAGACCAGAGUCCUGGAUGUGGUCUACAAUGCCUCCAACAAUGAGCUGGUCCGUACCCAGACUUUGGUGAAGAAUGCCAUCAUCCAAGUUGAUGCUGCUCCUUUCCGCACCUGGUACAGCCAGCACUACGGUGUUGAAAUUGGCAAGAAGAAGAAGGCGGCAGCCAAGAAGGAUACUGAGGUGAGCUGCAGUGAUUUUCAAGUGUGUUAAUGAUAUACUCUCUUUAAAUGAGUACUCUAUUUUUUUACUUCAGGAUUAGGUCUUAGGAUGUGGGAUUUUUCUGUUGUUACUUUGUAAUGGUCUUCAUGCAACACAUUUUAUUAACCGGUCUUCAAGCUAAUUUCACAUGCUUUUUUUGUUUCGCAGGACGCCGAAACCACAGAGGAAGAGAAGAAGAGCGCCCACGUGCAGAGGAAGCUGGCUAAGAGAUUGGAGGGCCAGAAGCUGGACUCCCACUUGGAAGAUCAGUUUGCCAGCGGCAGGCUGCUCGCCUGCAUUGCCUCCCGCCCUGGCCAGUGCGGCCGUGCUGACGGGUACGCUCGCUUACCUUCUGAAGUAGAUAUCGAAUUAAUGUAGAUCUUAAUCUAGUGACAAUCGUCCUAUCGCACGAACACGACACGGAUACAAAUUUACACUCUGCAAUUAAUAACUUAUUCUCAAAUUUGACGCCCACAGUAGGCACUCGUCCUCUUUUUGCGCACAUGUAGUGCGCCAUAUUCAAAAUUAAUAUCUCCGUCACGCAACUUAAAGAAGUUUCGCUGAAUUUGGAUGUUCAAAGGUGUAUUAUCCAGGUAUUCGCAGUAUGACCGCACCUAGAGCGAUACGGUUAACUUGCUUCUUUGAUAGCAGUCGGCUGUAUCAUGGCCAAACGCUUCUUCGGUGACUCCUUGAUGAUAUUACGACCCUUGUUCCCAGAGAUGUAAUUGAUCAGACGAAAUACGCAUUUUAAAUUUCUGGUAUUAAGCCAAUGAGAGUAUGUUCAAUCAUUUUAAUUACUAACGAGCUUUUCGUUUAGAAACAGUAUGUCAUUGUGAUCAACGGAAGCUGUAGAGCCAGCGAAGUAUUUUGGAUGUUUUGAUAUGUGUGUUCUGGGAUGAGUAUGGAAAGGGUCAUACUGGCAAAUAUCUCCGUUAUCAUGGCAGACAGGCAUUACAAGUCAUGGUGAAAUUGAGACCUAUUGCUCUACGUGGUAAUCGUUACCAGCUUUCUCCGGACAUUAAUGUUUUUUUCUCUAAUUCUUGCAGGUACAUCUUGGAAGGUAAGGAGCUUGAGUUUUACCAGAAGAAGAUCCAGAAGAAAAAGGGCAAGGGUGCCGCCGCCUAGGCUUUUGGUAGUCAUUUGAUAGGACUAUUCUGGUGUGCCUUGUCGAGGCUAUGCGAAACCUAUUGAUUCAGGUUUUUUCAUAAUGGAAAAUUUCUCGCAAUCAGAAUCUGCAUUGUGACAUUACCUGAGGAUCUUCAACACAUUACGCCUUGUAUGAUUCUUAAUCUCCCCAAAAGUUUCCCUACAACUCAAUGUGUCGUUUCCUGACAAUUGAAGUCAUUCUCGCUGCGGCUGGAUGUCACUUGCAGCUCGCACUUUGGAUCCUAGAGUUCAUUAAUAUUCCUUCCGGAACUUUAAU
This 1768-nucleotide long non-coding RNA is filed under the name Physcomitrium patens. RNAcentral describes it as "long non-coding RNA (PPAT_LNC008316)". The record is from RNAcentral. Lineage: Eukaryota; Viridiplantae; Streptophyta; Bryopsida; Funariales; Funariaceae.